Molecule: ribosomal RNA, 301 nt
Filed under: uncultured bacterium
Lineage: Bacteria
Description: partial 16S ribosomal RNA
Rfam family: Bacterial small subunit ribosomal RNA
Source: RNAcentral
CAGUAGCCACGGUAAAACGUAGGGUGCAAGCGUUAAUCGGAAUUACUGGGCGUAAAGCGUGCGCAGGCGGUUAUGUAAGACAGUUGUGAAAUCCCCGGGCUCAACCUGGGAACUGCAUCUGUGACUGCAUAGCUAGAGUACGGUAGAGGGGGAUGGAAUUCCGCGUGUAGCAGUGAAAUGCGUAGAUAUGCGGAGGAACACCGAUGGCGAAGGCAAUCCCCUGGACCUGUACUGACGCUCAUGCACGAAAGCGUGGGGAGCAAACAGGAUUAGAUACCCGCGUAGUCCCUGUCUCUUAUAC